AAUGAACGCUGGCGGCAUGCCUUACACAUGCAAGUCGAACGGCAGCAUGACCUAGCUUGCUAGGUUGAUGGCGAGUGGCGCACGGGUGAGUAAUGCAUCGGAACGUGCCUUUUAGUGGGGGAUGACGUAGCGAAAGUUACGCUAAUACCGCAUAUUCUCUGAGGAGGAAAGCAGGGGACCUUCGGGCCUUGCGCUAGAAGAGCGGCCGAUGUCGGAUUAGCUAGUUGGUGAGGUAAAGGCUCACCAAGGCAACGAUCCGUAGCGGGUCUGAGAGGAUGAUCCGCCACACUGGGACUGAGACAAGGCCCAGACUCCUACGGGAGGCAGCAGUGGGGAAUUUUGGACAAUGGGCGCAAGCCUGAUCCAGCCAUGCCGCGUGAGUGAAGAAGGCCUUCGGGUUGUAAAGCUCUUUCGGCUGGGAAGAAAUCGCACCCUCUAAUACAGGGUGUGGAUGACGGUACCAGCAUAAGAAGCACCGGCUAACUACGUG
This 490-nucleotide ribosomal RNA is filed under the name uncultured bacterium. RNAcentral's name for it is "partial 16S ribosomal RNA". It matches the Rfam family "Bacterial small subunit ribosomal RNA", at positions 29 to 507 of the family's 1533-position model. The record is from RNAcentral.